UCCUGACUCCCCCUAAAAUCUUGUUUUCUCAUUUUUUUUCUCUAUAGAAUGCAGAAAUGGCUUUCAUUUUGUAAGAAAGAAGAGGAGAAGCCAAAGAAAGGAGGAAAGUAUUGCAGCUCAAGUCUUGCAAACAUUUAUGUUUUUUUUCUUACGUCAGACAUGGCCUGGCUCUGGAAUUUCUCCCUGGGGGUUUCUAACCAUGGCAGAGGCUGCAGUGCAACAUGACAUCAAGGAAGCUCACAUUUCUUCUACCUUUCCCUCCCCUUUCAUUAAGGGAUGGGAAACUUUAACCUACAAGUGUAACAGAGGUUUUCAGCUCUGCUAG
RNAcentral lists this long non-coding RNA (325 nucleotides) under Dromaius novaehollandiae (emu). Its description in RNAcentral is "lncRNA (ENSDNVG00000012568.1)". Lineage: Eukaryota; Metazoa; Chordata; Aves; Casuariiformes; Dromaiidae. The record is from RNAcentral.